Long non-coding RNA from Humulus lupulus (European hop), 5281 nucleotides. RefSeq lists it as uncharacterized. The transcript is spliced from 3 exons. The record is from RefSeq and is a predicted model, not a curated record. Lineage: Eukaryota; Viridiplantae; Streptophyta; Magnoliopsida; Rosales; Cannabaceae.
UUUGCUCUAUGUAAUUUUUUUUUUGUUGAAGUAUGUAUAAUUUGAACCCAUAUUUGGUAUUUAUAUAAGUAUAUAUGUUUAUAGUAUUAUCUAUGUAUUUUCCUCUUUUUUACAAGCACGGGUAGGAUUUCUAGUGUUGGGAAAGUCGGGGUCCUCCCUGACCCUUUGAAUGUUAUUAGCACGGCCAAGACCAUUGAUGCGGCUACUAUUGUCGUAUUAUUGAUUAAAAGAUUAUUAAAGAUUGCCAAAUAUUAACUCUUUACAUAGUUCAUCAUGUAGCAGUACAAAACAUCAUAAGACAGAAUUUUUAUUGGACACUUCACGAAAACAUGUAUAUAUUGUUGCCAGUUUUAUCGUGCAUGGUGGACUUUGCUUUGAAAUUUAUUAAAGCCAUGAACUAGGGAAUAGGUCUGGGAAAAUUAUAAAGGCAUCUAAGGAAAAUAGAUUGUGGAGGAGCUAAGAAUAUUUGACAUAAGCACAUAGAAUACAUGGGCAGUCGUCACUUUAUAUGUGUUAAAUAUUUGACAUAUGCACAAAUAUUCAAAACUAUACUAAAUACUAUGCUAGGAAUGAUAAAAAUUACAAAGAUAGUGAUUUAGGAUUGUUAGUGCGGUCAAUAUUUGUUAUUGUUAGGUUGUUAGAGUUUUAUUCCUUGGUUUUAGGAAUAUUGUUAUCAGAUUUUUUUUGUAUAAAUAUAUGUAUUAUAAGCCCUAAUGAAUAGAUAGCAGAGAUAUACGAUUAAUCUCUUUCUUUUAUCUUUUUUUAAUAUUUUUUCUUGCUGAAUAUACUUUCAUGGUAUCAGAGCUGAAAAAAUAUUCAGCAAUUGAGAAAAUAUGACUUCGACAGGGGUAAGCGAAGAUCAGGUUCAGACUGAGUCUUUGAACUCAGUUCCACCGGGCUUCAAAAUUACUCCUAACUCUCUCUCUGAAAACUUAUUUUUCCAUCAAAUUUCGGCAUUUAAAUUAAAUGGAUGAAAUUUUUUAAGCUGGUCCCGAUCGGUCCAGCUGGUAAUUCGUGGGAAAGGGAAGAUCGGCUUCAUCGAUGGCUCCAAACUACCUCCAAAAGAUUCAGACCCUUCCUAUUCCGAUUGGGGCAUCAAUAACUCAAUGGUGAUGUCGUGGUUAAUUAAUUACAUGGAGAAUUCUAUUGCUGAAAUUUAUCUUCUUUAUUCAACGGCAAAAGAAAUUUGGGAUGUCGUAACUAUGGCUUAUUCUGACCUUGAAGAUGCUUCUCUGAUGUUUCAUCUUCCUACUCGGGCUCGCACUCUUCGACAAGGUGAAACCAAUGUUACUUUAUAUUUUAAUAAUCUAACAAAACUCUGGCAAGAAUUAGAUUUGUUUUCUCCACAAAAAUGACAUGACCCUAAAGAUGCUGAGAUUUAUCGCAAAAUCCUUACAAAGGAAAGGAUCUAUGAUUUUCUUCCCGGACUGGACAGCAGCCUAGAUCAUGUACGCAGCCGAAUUCUCAGCAACAAAACAAUCCCUUCCUUGGACGAAAUUUUUGCCGAAGUUCGUAGAGAAGAAUCUCGCAAGCAUGUCAUGCUUCCUUUCACUGUCCAACAAAAAAAUCCUUCUUCUCAAGAGGCUUCGGCAUUGGCUGCUCGUAAUGUUGAUAAUCGCAACUCUAAGAAGUCAUCUCAGUUUUGUGAUCACUGCCAACGACCAUACCACACAAAAGCUACCUGUUGGAAGCUUCAUGGCAAACCAACUGAUUGGGUUCCUCGUCAUCUUCGUGGCACUGAGAAUAAAGCAUUACAAACUUCAUCUUCUACCGAGGGUGACAGUCCUUUCACAAAAACUUAGUUGGAUCAGUUGAGUAAAUUUUUUUCUGGGAAUUCAGUUGUGUCAACAACACAUGGUACAACACUUUCUGCUAUUGCAGCCACCUCUUCUUCUGCUUCAGCCCCUUGGAUUAUUGACUUGGGUGCUUCUGAUCAUAUGACGGGACCAGGUCUCGGGUUAGAUGAUUAGGAGUGCUAAGGAAGUGUCAGGACUAUUAUUUUUUGCAUAAAAGGUCUUCGAAUGGGAGUGGGAGCAACUGCCUUCUUGUGACCUAAUCUUCCUCUUCUCGUCGUAAUAAAGUGAUGCUUCUUCAUUAUAGAUUAGGUCAUCCUAGUUUUUCUUAUCUAUGUCGUUUAUUUCCUAGUUUGUUUUCACAUAAAGACUCUUUUGUUUGUGAAACAUGUUUACUUGCUAAACAUACUCGGGUUUCUUUUCGUAUGCAUUCUUAUAAACCAUUUAAACCUUUUUCACUUAUUCAUAGUGAUUUAUGGGGUCCCUCUCGGAUCUCAUCUGUUUCUAAUAAAAAAUGGUUUGUUUCAUUUAUUGAUGAUUAUACUCGUGUGUGUUGGGUAUAUUUGCUUCAUGAACAAAAUGAAGUUUCUGAUAUCUUUGAAAAUUUCUAUGUCAUGAUUGAAACACAAUAUGAAACAAAAAUUCAAGGUCUACGAACUGAUAAUGGUAUUGAGUACUUUAAUUCUGUCCUUAGUUCAUUUCUUCUUAAAAAAAGGAUUAUUCAUCAGAGUUUGUGUUAACACCCCUCAACAAAACAUGGUGGCUAAAUGAAAAAAUCGUCAUCUUUUGGAAGUCUCUCGAGUCUUUUAUUUGGGGCUAAUGUCCCAAAACGUUUCUGGGGUGGUACUCUUUUGACAGCCUGUUUUUUAAUUAAUCACAUGCCUUCCAAAGUUCUUAAGUUUCAAACUCCUUUACAAUGUCUACAAAAAUCUUUUCCUAAUAACAGAUUUUUUUUCAGAGAUUGAUCUCUGUGGAUUUAUUUCAGUAAUUAGUUAGUUGACCACAGCUGUAAAUAGGGAUCAAUUUGGUAUUAAUACCAAAUAUUUUGUAUAUUUAUUCUUUCUAAAAUUAGGGGAUUUUUAUAGUUGUACUUUCUAGAAUUAGUUAUUUGUAUUUAUUAGGUCAGAUCCUAGGUUGUAUAUAUAUUCCCUUUCUUUGAGAUAAUAAUACACAGAAAAAUAUUCAAACAAUCACAAUCUCAGAGUUUUUGGCUGCUCAGUUUUCAUUCACGUUCAUACUCAAAAUCAUGGCAAACUUGAACUACGUUCUAAUAAAUGUGUUUUUCUCGGCUAUUCAUCUCUUCAAAAGGGAUAUCGUUGUUUUUCUGUUGAAAAAAAUAAAUAUUUCAUUUCUAAAGAUGUCACUUUUUUAGAGAAUCAAUAUUUUCUUUUAAGGAAAUUCAGUCUCAGGGGGAGAAUUUAAGUGAUCUGAAUUUUCUUGAUCAAUCUACCAACUCCCAGUUAAAUUCAAAUUGAGAAUAUUUUUGGCUGCCUCAAAGUUCUCUAGCCCCAACGCAAAAUUCUGCUCCUAGUUCUUCUUCAAUACCUCAAUUAUCUCCAGUUCCUGUGCCUCAAAAUUCGCACUCAAUUCCUGAUAUUUUACCAGAAAAACCUCCUAUUAUUACUUACUCUAGGCGAAGACCUGUUAUGCAAAAAGAUAGCACUACCGAGCAACCUACACCUCAAGAAUCUGAUCUGGGUACAGAUGCAAGCACUGGUUACUAAUUUAUCAACCACGGAAAUUCCUUCCAAUUUUGAAGAAGCCUACAAAGAUAGCAAUUGGAAACAUGUUGUUCUUGAAGAAAUGAGAGCUCUAGACAAGAACAAUACUUGGGAGGUUGUUGAUCAGCCACGUGGAGUGGUUCCAGUUGGGUGCGGAUGGGUUUUUACUGUUAAGUAUAAAGAAGAUGGUUUGAUUGAACGAUACAAAGCCAGGUUAGUGGCUAAGGGUUAUUCACAAACUUACGGGAUAGAUUAUCAAUAAACUUUUACACCUGUUGCAAAAGUUAAUACCAUUCGUGUGUUGUUAUCCCUUGCUGCCAAUUUGGACUGGACUCUUCAACAAUUAGAUGUAAAAAAUGCCUUUUUGAAUGGUGAUCUAGAAGAAGAAGUGUAUAUGGAAUUGCCACCUGGAUUUGACUCAGAGAAAAAAUAUGGAAAGGUAUGUAGACUGAAGCGAUCAUUAUAUGGAUUAAAGCAGUCUCCUCGUGCUUGGUUUGAGCGAUUUACCAAGGCUGUUAAAAAAAAUGGUUAUAGACAAACUCAAGCAGUUCAUAUACUUUUCUAUAGAUUGAGUAAUGGAAAGAUAGUAAUCUUAAUAAUGUAUGUUGAUGAUAUAAUUGUUACUGGCAAUGAUGGAGUUGAAAUUAGUAGAAUAAAAGGAAAGCUUGCCGAAGAUUUUGAUAUGAAAGAUUUAGGGAAUCUUCUGUAUUUUCUAAAAAUGGAGAUCGCUCGAAAUAAGGAUGGAAUUUCUGUUUCUCAACGGAAAUAUGUUCUGAAUCUGUUGAAAAUUACAAGAAUGUUGGGAUGUAAACCUGUAGAGACACCUAUGGAUGCUAAUGUAAAGCUUAGUCAAGACCAUUUUGAUGAUCAACCAGUCGAUAAAGGGCAAUAUCAGAUAUUAGUUGGUAAACUUAUUUACUUAUCUCAUACAAGACCAGAUAUAGCUUUUGCAGUAAGUUGUGUGAGUUAAUUUAUGCAUGCACCAUCUAAAAGUCAUCUUGAUGUUGUGUACAAAAUCCCCAAGUAUUUGAAAGGCACACUUGGGUGAGGUUUAUUGUUUAAAAAGCGGAAAAACAGAGGAGUGGAAGUGUAUGUUGAUGCUGAUUGGGCAGGCUCUCCUAUUGAUAGACGUUCAACUUUAGGGUAAUGUUCUUAUGUUUUUGGUAAUCUUGUGACUUGGAGGAGUAAGAAGCAACUAGUGGUAACCCGAAGUAGUGCAGAAGCUGAGCUUAGAGCUACAUCUCUUGGUAUUUGUGAAGCAAUAUGGUUGAAAUUACUUUUACAAGAGUUGAAAAUUGAAGUUAGAUUUCCCCUUCAGGUUUACUGUGAUAAUAAAGCUGCAAUUUUGAUAGUUCACAAUCUUGUUCAUCAUGAUCAUACUAAACAUGUUGAAGUGGAUUGACAUUUUAUUAAAGAGAAAAUUGAUGAGGGCACAAUUAAUAUUUCUUAUGUACCAUCUUCUCAUCAAACUGCUGAUAUUCUAAGAAAAGCCUUGUUCAAGCCUAUGUUUGAAAAUAUGAAGAACAAGCUUGGUUUGUUCAAUGUGUACUAUCCAGCUUGAGGGAGAGUGUUAGCGUGGUCAAUAUUUGUUAGGUUGUUAGAGUUUUAUUCCUUAGUUUUAGGAAUAUUGUUAUCAGAUUUUUUUUGUAUAAAUAUAUGUAUUAUUAGCCCUAAUGAAUAGAUAGCAGAGAUAUGCGAUUAAUCUCUUUCUUUUAUCUUUUUUUAAUAUUUUUUCUUGCUGAAUAUACUUUCAAGGAUUAACAUUUG